AAUAGAUACCCUGGUAGUCCACGCCGUAAACGAUGAGUGCUAAGUGUUAGAGGGUUUCCGCCCUUUAGUGCUGCAGCUAACGCAUUAAGCACUCCGCCUGGGGAGUACGGUCGCAAGACUGAAACUCAAAGGAAUUGACGGGGGCCCGCACAAGCGGUGGAGCAUGUGGUUUAAUUCGAAGUCAACGCGAAGAACCUUACCAAGUCUUGACAUCCUCUGACAACUCUAGAGAUAGAGCGUUCCCCUUCGGGGGACAGAGUGACAGGUGGUGCAUGGUUGUCGUCAGCUCGUGUCGUGAGAUGUUGGGUUAAGUCCCGCAACGAGCGCAACCCUUGAUCUUAGUUGCCAGCAUUUAGUGGGCACUCUAAGGUGACUGCCGGUGACAAACCGGAGGAAGGUGGGGGAUGGACGUCAAAUCAUCAUGCCCCUUAUGACCUGGGCUACACACGUGCUACAAUGGAUGGGUACAAAAGGGCUGCAAAGACCGGCAGGGUCAAGCCAAAUCCCAUAAAAACCAUUCUCAGUUCGGGAUUGUAGG
RNAcentral lists this ribosomal RNA (538 nucleotides) under uncultured bacterium. RNAcentral describes it as "bacterial SSU rRNA". It matches the Rfam family "Bacterial small subunit ribosomal RNA", at positions 777 to 1304 of the family's 1533-position model. The record is from RNAcentral.